This 38-nucleotide transfer RNA is filed under the name Solanum metrobotryon. RNAcentral describes it as "partial tRNA-Phe". Lineage: Eukaryota; Viridiplantae; Streptophyta; Magnoliopsida; Solanales; Solanaceae. The record is from RNAcentral.
UUCCAAUCCAGAUUGGUAGGAUAGAGGACUGGAAAUCC